GAGGUUGUGGCUCAGUGGUAGAGCGCUUGCCUAGCACACAUGAAGUACUGUGUUCAAUCCUCAGCACCACA
Non-coding RNA from Ictidomys tridecemlineatus (thirteen-lined ground squirrel), 71 nucleotides. The record is from Rfam. NCBI's taxonomy places the organism in Eukaryota, Metazoa, Chordata, Mammalia, Rodentia, Sciuridae.